GAGAGAGAGGAGGGAAGGCUGCUGCAGGUUUAGUGUAGCAACUAGCCAGCACACACACAGAGCAAAGAGGGAGAGAGGGGAGGGAAGGCUGCUGCAGGUUUAGUGUAGCAACUAGCCAGCACACACACAGAGCAAAGAGGGAGAGAGAGGAGGGAAGGCUGCUGCAGGUUUAGUGUAGCAACUAGCCAGCACACACACAGAGCAAAGAGGGAGAGAGAGGAGGGAAGGCUGCUGCAGGUUUAGUGUAGCAACUAGCCAGCACACACACAGAGCAAAGAGGGAGAGAGAGGAGGGAAGGCUGCUGCAGGUUUAGUGUAGCAACUAGCCAGCACACACACACAGCAAAGAGGGAGAGAGGGGAGGGAAGGCUGCUGCAGGUUUAGUGUAGCAACUAGCCAG
Long non-coding RNA from Oncorhynchus tshawytscha (Chinook salmon), 399 nucleotides. NCBI's taxonomy places the organism in Eukaryota, Metazoa, Chordata, Actinopteri, Salmoniformes, Salmonidae. The record is from Ensembl.